CGACUGCUGAUUUGCAGACGACAUCAGUCCAUCGUGGACUACGGCUCCACUGCCAGUGCUGCCAACACUGCCGACCGUGCCACGUAUCUCACAGUUGCACCAGCCAGCUGCUCCACUUCCACCGUCGUCAUCACUACGUCUGGGUCCAGAAGCAGCUUCCCGGCAUCCCCACAUCCUCCAGCAACAACAAACCGACACCCACAAGCUGUGCCACAGUUGUUACCGCACUGGCUCUGUCUGCAUUGGCCUGAACCCACCUGCUAAAGAAUCACUUUACUCCAGACCAGUUUGAGCCGACAGAAUUGGUGGAGUGGUAAAACGUAAACCAAAUGCUGUGCCAACAAUUUUUGGUGAUCGUAAAGCUCCUGCCGAGAGGAAACCUGUUGGCCUACUAGAGAAACGGACUGAGGAUACAGAGGUUGGAGAGCCUUCGAAUGUGACCAAUGACAUCAGUCCUGCAGCGAAAUUGGACACGACAGAAGAUGAAGUCACCACCCUGAAGAACCUAG
Schistocerca serialis cubense is the source of this 509-nucleotide long non-coding RNA. RefSeq lists it as uncharacterized. NCBI's taxonomy places the organism in Eukaryota, Metazoa, Arthropoda, Insecta, Orthoptera, Acrididae. The transcript is spliced from 3 exons. The record is from RefSeq and is a predicted model, not a curated record.